Long non-coding RNA from Orcinus orca (killer whale), 3348 nucleotides. RefSeq lists it as uncharacterized. The transcript has 2 exons. The record is from RefSeq and is a predicted model, not a curated record. NCBI's taxonomy places the organism in Eukaryota, Metazoa, Chordata, Mammalia, Artiodactyla, Delphinidae.
CGGUGGGAUGUAAAAUAAGACCUCAUAGUCUCCUCCGCCGCGCAACAUAAUUCGGCAACACCUUACAAAUACAUUCCGAAACCAACACGCCCGAAUAUUUAAAAAAGGCUCCUCACGGUUGGGGCAUGAGGUCUAAGAAGCGGAAGAGAGAAAGUGCACGCCCCAUUCCCGUAAGGAUCGCCUAGCGUCUUCACUAUCCCUACGUGGCUCAGCGCGAACCCGGCCCUUUCCGCUUGGUGGCUUGGAGGGCAGCGGAGAGGGAGCGUAAUUUCGUGGGCGCAACUCUGCGUCACACUCCCUCGGCAGAAGUUAUGCCCGCAGCCGAUGGAUACGGGAUCCUUGAAGUAAUCCAGGCAGACGGCACACACCGCUUCCUCCUGAAGGGUCUGCGAGGCGUUGGGAGCAGCGGCAUAGCCAGCCAUCUUAACGCGCUGCCGGUUCGUAUGGAUGCGUCCGCUCACAGCUGAGAAGCGGGGGACACACCUGCAGGCCUGCCUCCAAGCGACGCUGGUGAUCCAAAGCUGUCCCCAACCCUGCUCUGCCUACUCGGGCCCUCAGAGAAGCCUUGCGGCCCUCUCUCAGACUCUCCCCAGCUUUAAGCGCGAAAGCCCGAGGCCCGAACUCACAGCUGCCCUCGGAAGGCAGUGGGGGCGGAACCAGCUGCGGCCCCCACCUCCCUUUGAGACUCAGCGUGAAAACUCGGAUCCCUUCACGUUUCUCGCCUCCCUUCCGGUUUGCCUGACCUGGCGGCUUCCGCCUCAGAAGCCGGCGCUCCUCACCCCGCCAGAGGUGACCGAAAAUGACGUAGGCGCAUUAGCCCACACUCGGGAGGGGGCGGACUGGGCGAACGGAGGGCCACCUCUCUAUGGUUUCCCCCGGAAACCGGAGACACGACCCCCGGAAACCCCUGCAGCCCAUCCAGCCGCCCCAGACAGGAAAGAGGGCCUGGUCAGAAUGGGUGGAGGCGGCGAGAGAAUCAGUUUAAGCCACUGAGCGCUCUAAUCAGCCAGACGCAGAGGGUCCAACAGCCGCUCAGGAAAGCCCGUCCCCAGAUGGACCCAAAAGGGUGGGGACUGCGGUGGCUGACCUCUGGUACUCUCGUGCACUUCCGGCCCCUCUACCCAGAGGCCUUUGUGGUAGGGAGGAUUCUGUCUGCACUGCUGCAGCGCUCGAGGGCGUGGUCUGUAGCAACCUGGCGGGAUCGAGCUCACUGCGCAGUUGGGUGGCGGUGAGAUCAAAGAAUCUCGCGUGAAGACUUGGGUGCUUCCAACUUUCCUCAGACCGAUUCACCCCUUGCUUCCUGCCUUCAGCAGGCACCAGCUUCGCCUGUGGAUCUUUUUACCUCCAUUUAUAAUCCUUCCAUUCACCAUCCACUCACCAUGCAUGCAUGCAUCCACCCACCCAAAUAACCAUUCAUUUUUCAUCCAUCCCUCUAUCUCUCCAUCCAUCCAUCAUAGGCAUGCAUAACCCAUCCAUCCAUUUAUCCAUCCAUUUUCAUCUAUCCACGUUAUAGGAACAAAAAAAUGAGUAAGGCAUGAUUGUUCCUUCAAGGAGUAUAGAGUUAUACGCGAGCGGUCAUCCUUCACCCAACGUUCACAAGGUUUAUUUUUUUCUUUUUUUAACUUGACCCUCAGUAAGAAUUACAUUGCAAGUACUGAUCCAAUACAGACUUGCACAUAUAUGACAGAAACAAAAUUGGGGGAAAUUGUUCUUUUCCUUAGGGCGUUCAAGUCACUCCGAUAUGUUCUGUUUUACUUCAUUAAGAUGCUGUUCAACACCCGUUGGAGUGAUUGCACCCCUCAAUAAUUGGUCACUUUGGUUUGAGGAACUCCACCUGCCCUAAUGGAAACUUCAACGAGCCCUGGAUCCCUUCCUUUCCCUCUCUGGGCCCAAGCUUGGACUCUUAAGUCCCACAGAGCAAGAAUGGUAAACGUGCUAUUCAACAUUGUACACAUAGCUCCUCUGUCAUAGUGCUGAACAUAUAGCAGGUACUCCCUACAUAUCUGCUGAGUAAAUAAAUGGAACCCAACAAAUUGCUACCAUCAAGUCCUGCUGGUUUUUAUCUCCUCAGAUCUAGGUCUUCUCUAUCUCUGUUCCUUCCAGCCUACAUCUGACCCCAUAGCUUCCAAAUGGACAAGAAGUUUCCUGAAGGGUCACUUGGCCUCAUUUUAGGUCCGUCUUUCAGCAACCAGUACCAUUCACCUGAGAUGAAAGUCUGGCACUCAAGCCAAGUUGUUGCCUGUAUGUCUUUGGGCAUGUUGUUCACUCACCUAGAAGGCUCUCACCUCACUGCUUCACUUGGAUAUAAUCCCUAAUUAACCUUCAAGUCUCUGCCCAGGCAUAAUCUCCUGAAGGAGACUCUUCCCUGAGGCUGGCACCAGGCUGUGUUCACAUGCCAACUCUGUCACUCUCUGUAUGACCUUGGAUUAGUUUCUUAACAUCCCUGUGCUUCAGUUUCCCUGUCUGCAACAUAAAGAUGAUAGUAGCACACACGUCAUGGGUUGUUGUGAAGUUGGAUUAAUUGUAAAAUGGUUUGAACAGUGCCCACUGGAGUUAUCUUUUUAUCCUCAUCACCUGCCACUAUAUUCCUUUCCUGUAGUAGAUAAGCCUUAGAAGAAACUCUCCCUUAUCUCCUAUUCUCUCCCACUUUGAGUAGGGUCAAGUGAUUUGAACGCUGAGGGGAAAAAUAAUACGCCAUCUGUCAUCCUAGGUUUUUUUUUUUCUUCCUGGCCACAGUGCUCGGGAUCUUAGUUCCCUGGCCAGGGAUCGAACCCGUGCCCCCUGUAGUAGAAGCUUGGAGUCCUAACCACUGGACCGCCAGGGAAUUCCCUGUCAUGCUAGUGGUUCUGAGAGCCUUUUGUCUGGAGAGGGAGGGAGUUGAAACCCAGGUCUGACCUGCCUAAGGUGGGACACCUAUUGGUGGUGUUUGUUAGAAAACUAGCAAGUAAACUCCCAUAUACAAUCUGGGAACCAUCCUGGAGGUCAUGACUGACCCUGAGAAGCCACGGGGAAAAUGUGAGCCAUGAGAACUGGAACUGAGUUUCAAGGCUGGAAUACUUCCCCAUCUCUGAAUGCAGGUUCUCCCCUGCACAUGGAAGCGGGUGGGCAAAGAGCUGGGGAGCAGACCAAGGGAAGAGGGGGCUGCUUAUAAAAGUUUCUGCUUGCCCCAGGGAGCAGAGCCCCGGUGGGAAGGAGAGCUGGAGAAAGAGCAAGGGGGAAUGGGUGGAAGAAGAUGGUGAGAGAAGGCUUGUGGGAUCAUCCUGAAGGAACUGUCGAGACUUAAAAGGAACAUAGAGUGGACACCCAUUAUCAAGAAUACGUAGGUGAAUAAAGACCUGUAAAGUUCAA